RNAcentral lists this ribosomal RNA (301 nucleotides) under uncultured bacterium. RNAcentral's name for it is "partial 16S ribosomal RNA". It matches the Rfam family "Bacterial small subunit ribosomal RNA", at positions 509 to 807 of the family's 1533-position model. The record is from RNAcentral.
CAGUAGCCGCGGGAAUACGGAGGGAGCUAGCGUUGUUCGGAAUCACUGGGCGUAAAGCGCACGUAGGCGGCUAUUCAAGUCAGGGGUGAAAGCCCGGGGCUCAACCCCGGAACUGCCUCUGAAACUAGAUAGCUUGAAUCUUGGAGAGGCGAGUGGAAUUCCGAGUGUAGAGGUGAAAUUCGUAGAUAUUCGGAAGAACACCAGUGGCGAAGGCGACUCGCUGGACAGGUAUUGACGCUGAGGUGCGAAAGCGUGGGGAGCAAACAGGAUUAGAUACCCCGGUAGUCCCUGUCUCUUAUAC